CCUUUCUCUGUUCAUACUCCACUGAUUCUCUCUCUCACUAGGCUCAAAUUCUGCCUUUCAGCAGCCAAGGGGUAUGGGGAAUAAAUCCUGAAUGCAGACAAGGUGUGCUUAAGAUCAGGAGUCUCAGUCUCCAGGAUGAACCAAGAAGCUGGAUACCCUGGCUGAAGUCUGCCAAGGCUCAGGAGCACAGCAGCAUGCCAGAUCCUCCCUGGAUUUGAGCAUAACAGCCUGAUAGAAAUCAGAGGGACUGCCAUCUGCACUUAUCAAGACAGUUGUGGACUUUCUUUGAAGCUAGGAGAUGGCCCAGGUGCAUGUUUUGAAGCAGGUGCCUGAGGUCACUGGAAUUGUGACAGAGCAUACAAAUUAUUACAAGUUUUGGUGGCUAGCUUCUUCAGCUAAUGGAUGACACAGAGAAAUACCUGAAUCUAUCAUAUGUCUGUGAGGACCAAAUUCCUAGAUUGCAAGACCAGCCUAAUUCUUUGCUCUGCUGGAAGUCAUCUUAAGAGGCUGCUUGACAUGGGUCUCAGGAAUGCCUUGUGGAACUUCAGCACUCAGCUCUUACUCCAUCAUCACCGCCUUGCAGAGAUGCUGCAUCUGGGAGUCCAUCUAAGUGAGAGGCUGGUUCACUUUGAACACUGGUGUGAAGCUAGGCUACACUUACUUUCUGGAGCUCUUUAGCAUUAUCACGAGUAGCUACUGUGUAGGCAGCACGAGCAGCAGCAUUCUGUGGGGUGGAUUGCACAUAUCUUGGAAGUGUAAAUUGUGCUAGUAGCACUGCGUUACUGAGCCAUAGACCUGAAAAAACCUGUGAAGAUACAUAACCUAGCAAAAGCAGUAAGCCAGACAGGAUUCAAAAUCAGUUAUCAAAGCAAACAUCCCUGAAAGCUUAAUACCAAGCAUCAAAGUCAUGCUAGAAAAUACAAAUUCUGGGAAAGCAGAGCUUGCCAGUCCUGUCCAUAUCCCACUUCUGACUAAUUAGGAAAGAACUGACAGUAAAAAUAGGAAAGUCUUGCACCACUCAUUUCAGCAUAUGUGAAUCCAAGAUAUUCUGUUCCAGAUUAAAAAAAAAAAAAAAAAAGAAAAAAGAUUUUUUAGAAUUAUUAUUUACAUGUAAUUACAAUGCUAAAAUAGAUCCUGGAAAACAGAGACAUCAAAGAUGCUAGGAAAAGUAGAUGCCUGGAGAAAAAGAAAGUGCCUAUGAAAAGGUCUGAAUGUUGGUCUCUGUCUCAGUACAGAGUUGAACUUCCCACCACCACCUCUCCAUGCACCAGGCAGCAGGGAGCAUGGGGUAUAACAGUGCAAUCUCUGAAUGGCAACCCCCAAGAAUUCCUCCAGAGAUGAUCCAAUGUGUGUGAAGAAGACCCACCUGACAGGAAUGAUGGUGAUCAAUCCCAACCAUGUGCUAGAAACUGCAGGGAAUGACAAUAAGAAAUGGAAGAUGCCACCUUCCACAGCAAGAACAACAUAAGAACUGCAAAGAGAACCCAAUACAUUCUCCAUAAGUGCUUUGUUUGCUCUGCAAAGAAAUUUUGCAUUACCUAGUUUGCCACUGGAGGUAAUAGUUGUGAACCUUACCAAAGGGGAGGAAAAUAAUGCUCUUGCUCCAGAGAUGCAAAGUGUAGCUGCUGUCCAGGUGAAAGCACUGUACCAAAUACUUCAAGGAGCCAGGGAAAACCCC
This 1678-nucleotide long non-coding RNA is filed under the name Cyanistes caeruleus (blue tit). RNAcentral describes it as "lncRNA (ENSCCEG00000016145.1)". The record is from RNAcentral. Lineage: Eukaryota; Metazoa; Chordata; Aves; Passeriformes; Paridae.